Hevea brasiliensis (rubber tree) is the source of this 107-nucleotide small nucleolar RNA. The record is from RefSeq and is a predicted model, not a curated record. NCBI's taxonomy places the organism in Eukaryota, Viridiplantae, Streptophyta, Magnoliopsida, Malpighiales, Euphorbiaceae.
AUACCAUGGUGUGGACAUUCUCUUUAUAGGUCUUUAUAUCUUUCCCAUGCAUCAUAGAGUGAUUCUCCCUCCUUUUGUCUAAAGGUGUUGAGCUCAAGCCUUAGUUU